AUGGCGGGGAAGUGGGGGCAGCAGGACAACCCCUUCGAGGAGGUCGAGAUCGAGGUCAACCCUUUCUCGCAACCACGCCCGACCCCGCUCCCUCACGAACCAGUUAACUUCUACAAUGACAUCAGUGCACCUGUCAAUAUGCCUCUCGAUACGAAAAAGGACCUGAAGAAAAAGGAGAAAGAACUUUUGGCUAAAGAGGCUGAGCUGAACAAGAGAGAACAAGAAAUAAAAAGAAGGGAAGAUGCUCUUGCAAGAGCUGGAGUUCUUAUAGAGCCUAAAAAUUGGCCUGCCUUCUUUCCUGUCAUCCAUGUGGAUAUUUCAAAUGAUAUACCCGUGCACUUGCAGCGAGUACAAUAUGUUGCAUUCGCAUCGCUCCUAGGUUUGAUCAUAUGCCUCUUCUGGAACUUUAUAUGCGUCACUGCUGUUUGGAUAUUAGGGGACGAGGCAGGUCCUAAGAUCUGGUUCCUGGCCAUCAUAUACAUUAUUACUGGAGUCCCAGGUGCCUACUAUUUGUGGUAUCGACCUCUCUAUCGUGCGAUGAGGAAAGAGAGUGCUUUCAGAUAUGGAUGGUUCUUCAUGUUCUAUUUUUUUCACAUUUGUUUCUGCAUAUUCGCAUCUGUUGCGCCAUCGAUUCUGUUCUUGGGACGUUCAUUGGCAGGAAUCUUUCAAGCACUGAGCGUAAUACCAUACAGUGCUACAGUUGGGAUAUUCUACUUCCUGGGUUUCACCUUGUUUGUCCUGGAAGCAUUGCUAAGCAUAUGGGUCAUGCAGAGAGUAUACCGGUAUUUCCGCGGAAACGGGAAGGAGGCGGAGAUGAGGCCUGACGCGGCAUCGCGGCGUCCAUCGUUUUGA
RNAcentral lists this ribosomal RNA (852 nucleotides) under Triticum aestivum (bread wheat). RNAcentral's name for it is "partial small subunit ribosomal RNA". Lineage: Eukaryota; Viridiplantae; Streptophyta; Magnoliopsida; Poales; Poaceae. The record is from RNAcentral.